This 301-nucleotide ribosomal RNA is filed under the name uncultured bacterium. RNAcentral's name for it is "partial 16S ribosomal RNA". It matches the Rfam family "Bacterial small subunit ribosomal RNA", at positions 509 to 807 of the family's 1533-position model. The record is from RNAcentral.
CAGUAGCCGCGGGAAUACGGAGGGGGCUAGCGUUGUUCGGAAUUACUGGGCGUAAAGCGCACGUAGGCGGCGAUUUAAGUCAGAGGUGAAAGCCCGGGGCUCAACCCCGGAACUGCCUUUGAGACUGGAUUGCUAGAAUCUUGGAGAGGCGGGUGGAAUUCCGAGUGUAGAGGUGAAAUUCGUAGAUAUUCGCAGGAACACCAGUGGCGAAGGCGGCUAACUGGUCCAUAACUGACGCUGAGGUGCGAAAGCGUGGGGAGCAAACAGGAUUAGAUACCCCUGUAGUCCCUGUCUCUUAUAC